UACGUAGGUGACAAGCGUUGUCCGGAUUUACUGGGCGUAAAGAGCGCGCAGGCGGUCGUUCAAGUCGAGUGUGAAAGCCCCCGGCUCAACUGGGGAGGGUCACUCGAUACUGAUCGACUCGAAGGCAGGAGAGGGAAGUGGAAUUCCCGGUGUAGUGGUGAAAUGCGUAGAUAUCGGGAGGAACACCAGUGGCGAAGGCGACUUCCUGGCCUGUUCUUGACGCUGAGGCGCGAAAGCUAGGGGAG
This 245-nucleotide ribosomal RNA is filed under the name uncultured bacterium. RNAcentral describes it as "partial 16S ribosomal RNA". It matches the Rfam family "Bacterial small subunit ribosomal RNA", at positions 524 to 768 of the family's 1533-position model. The record is from RNAcentral.